This 433-nucleotide ribosomal RNA is filed under the name Staphylococcus pseudintermedius. RNAcentral's name for it is "bacterial SSU rRNA". It matches the Rfam family "Bacterial small subunit ribosomal RNA", at positions 1 to 423 of the family's 1533-position model. Lineage: Bacteria; Bacillati; Bacillota; Bacilli; Caryophanales; Staphylococcaceae. The record is from RNAcentral.
UUUAUGGAGAGUUUGAUCCUGGCUCAGGAUGAACGCUGGCGGCGUGCCUAAUACAUGCAAGUCGAGCGAACAGAUAAGGAGCUUGCUCCUUUGACGUUAGCGGCGGACGGGUGAGUAACACGUGGGUAACCUACCUAUAAGACUGGAAUAACUCCGGGAAACCGGGGCUAAUGCCGGAUAACAUGUUGAACCGCAUGGUUCUACAGUGAAAGACGGUUUUGCUGUCACUUAUAGAUGGACCCGCGCCGUAUUAGCUAGUUGGUGGGGUAACGGCCUACCAAGGCGACGAUACGUAGCCGACCUGAGAGGGUGAUCGGCCACACUGGAACUGAGACACGGUCCAGACUCCUACGGGAGGCAGCAGUAGGGAAUCUUCCGCAAUGGGCGAAAGCCUGACGGAGCAACGCCGCGUGAGUGAUGAAGGUCUUCGGAU